ACUCUGGCUGCUGCUCUCGCGGCUGGAGGAAACCUCCGGCCUGGUAACCCGAGCCCGCUCUGUGCUGGAGAAGGCCAGACAUCGUAACCCGGCCAACCCAGAGCUAUGGCUGGCUGCCGUGCGGCUGGAACGGAGAGCCAACCAAGAGGCCAUGGCUCACAUCCUCAUGGCUAAAGGUGGGUUGUGGGUGAUGGAAAACUCAAUACAACAACAAAGCAAGUUUUAUUUGGAAAGCCAUUCUUAUUUACAUAUACCAGACAUGAGAUCUCUUAGCCAAUCAACAUGUUGCAGCCAUGCAAGAAUGCCCCAACAGUGGAAUACUCUGGGCGGAGGCCAUCUUCAUGGAGUCACGCCAGCAGCGCAAAGCCAAGACUGUGGAUGCCCUCAAGCACUGUGAACAUGAUGCCCACGUUCUCCUGGCCAUCUCCAAGUAGGUUCCACUGUGUAGAUCCUAUGGUCACCUCCUAACUCCUGGUGUGUGCAGCACCAUGUGGUGUGACCGCAAGAUUGACAAGGCUCGCGAGUGGUUUGGCCGCACCAUCAAGAUAGAUUCUGACCUCGGGGAUGCCUGGGCUUACUACUACAAGUUUGAGCUCUUCAAUGGCACAGAGGUACGGCCAUCUUGUACCCUGCUACUCAAGUGUGGGAAACUACAGGCGGUUUAACAGGAACUGGAGUUUCUCCAAAGAAACUCUAUUUAGAGAACCUCUGGUACCUGUUAAACAUCUUGUAGAGUUUCUUGAAGUGUAGUGCGACAAUAGUCUGCUCAGUACGUCACACUUGACUGUGUGCUCCAGGAGAUGCAGCAGGAAGUCCGCAAGAAGUGUGUGAAUGCUGAGCCCAAGUACGGAGAGAACUGGUGCUCCGUGUCCAAGGACAUCGCCAACUGGCGCAAGAAGACGGAGGAGAUCCUCAUCAUGGUGGCCAACAAGCUGCCCAUCCCCACCUAGGUCUGUCAUCACCAUAAUGGAAGAAGAAUGAAUGUCUAUACAACUUAAUAAAAAGUUCUCAACAGUUGUUGUUUAUCUGUGAAAUUUACUCUAGUGACUGAAGUAACAAAGCCUAUACAUAGUAGUUGUCUGUACAAGGUUUCACAAUGAAUAAUCUAGUUUCUCAAUUCACAAUGAAAGUUUCUCAAGACUUAUAUGUCAACAUGAAGAGAUUUAUUAUAUACAGCAGGAACCUACAAAGAAAGCUCAGGGGGAUAGAAGACCCUCGGGUCAUUAAUAUAACAACGCAGCGGCGGCCUUCCUAGAGACUAACUAGAGUAGCAGGGUACCGGACUCUAGCCUGAGGUGUCCGGAGGGUCCUUCUUCCUCAGCCUCAGGACGUGGAUGUCCGGACUCUGGAAGGUCUGAUCCAGCUCACUCUCCGGGACCCGCUCCAUGCCGAACCUCUCCCUCAUCAGCUGCAGCACACUCCACUAGCUGGGAACAUUUCUUGAGACACUUUUGUAACCCAAGGUAACAAGACCAAAUUUCACUGACACCCACUUUAUUAAUUUGGUCUUAUUGCCUCAGGUUUCUAACCUAUGAUCCAACCUAUCAUUUUUUCAACCUUUCGAUAAAAAUCUUUUUUUGUCAUCAUUAAAUAUAUAUUUAGAGAUUAAUUUUAUAACAGCUAGCCAAAACGUUUUUUUCUAGACUAGGACAAAAGAUUUUUUGUCGAAAUGUCAAAGUAAAUUCCUUGUCCAUCUAAAGAGCCCUCAAUGCCGGCUAGACAACUUACCUCCAUGAAGAGGUUGUGGAUCUGGACCUUGUCGUCCUCGUGUCUCUCCUCGUAGGACAACAGCACCUCUGUGUGGGGGCCGGACAGCUGGGACAGGGUCUCCACCAGGGGCCGCACACUCUGCCCUCACACCCGGCUGUUACACUAUGUCCUGCCUGUCAAUCCAUAUAACCAAACCGGGGUCAAUUACAAAUCCAUUGGGAUUUUCACACAUAGGUUAGAAUUUUGUGGACUGCCUCAUGUUACAAGUAUAAAAUCUUUUUUGGUGAUCCAUAGAGCCUAAACAUGAGAGCUGUCAAACCAUCUAUAUUAAGAUGUAUUGGGUGCGCAAAAAUGACUCAGCAUUUUUAUUUAAUUCAAUAUAAAUUUGAAACAAAUUUUUACCUAUUGCUUUGCAUCAAUUUCUGCAUCUUUAACACUAGCUAUUCAUGAGAAAUACUUAGUAUUUACUAGGGGGGUCGGUGGAAGGCUGGUUAAACCGUUUGGUUUUCGACCACUACGACCCGGGUUCGAUCCCCGCAUUGGACACUUUUUAUGUUUAAAAAAUAUAUAUAUAAAAAAUGCUCCAAUGGCCCCCCGAUUCUUGCAAAAGUCCAACCCCACCAGCGAGUGCAAGUAACCAAACGGGGCUCUGGCACAUUUGUAAGUGCAAAGUCGAACUGCUUUCACAUGUGUAGACAUGUGGUGUACUUACAGUAAAAGCAGUCGCUAACUACCCACCAUGAUUAUCAUGGCCUGUACCACGUGUACUAGGGAUAAGCAAAAAAAAAAAAACUUUUAAUUAUGGAAAUAUUUAAGAUGCAUUAGCACGCCAUCUGUUAUCAAAAUUGUAAACUAUUAUAGACACAUAUGAUUCUUUUUAAAAAUAAAUAAUUUGUACUGCCUUAGUGCAAUGGAAAAAUUACCACUGGGAGGGUUCACCACUGAUGAGCCAGGCCCUCCCAUAAUUUUUCCAUUGCAGUAAGGCAGUAGAAAUUGUUUAUUUUUAAAAAGAAUCAUACGUGUCUAUAAUAGUUUCCAAUUAUGGGAAUAUUUAUUUAAAAAGUAGUGUUAACCCUUUAAGCUCUAGGGCCCGAAUGCUAACUAUCACUAUCAGGACCACACUAAUUAAGCCUAAACUGAUGAUCAAGUAGUUGUUAAGUAAAAAAUGUUAUAAAUAAAUAAAUAUGAUAGAUAGAAGUGUUCUGUAAAGUGUAAUAUAAUCCAGACUCCUCUCUCAACACAACACUCUGAUUUUAUUAUACUGGAGUGAGUAUUUAAUUUUUUAAUUGGGGGUUAAUUAUAAUUAAUUGAAUAAUCGACUUGAAUUUUUCAAAAUAAGGUUUUACAAAUAUAAAAAGGAAUUUUAGAUAUAUACAAGGCUAUUUACAAAGCUAACACUUGUGUUUAAAAGCACAGACUGGAUGCAAGCCUCUCUUGCACUUUGAACAUAUGGUUCUAGACCUCCGCUUCAGGCCUUCUUUUGUACACUCCACACAUCUACUCUCUCUCUUUUCUGGAAGUUUUUCGAGUACUUCCUGGCUUGUUGAAGGCAGUACUGGAGGUUUCAAGUGAUUUUUAACUAAUUCAUUUAUUACUGAAUAGUUAAAAGCCCUUCUAGAAAGCUUGGGGUUGUCUUUGGUAUGCUGUUCAUAUAGGAUGAAGGAGUUUAGGAAAGCCCUGUGGAAGAUGUUGAGGAUCACCUUUCUAUAAAAUUUUCUUCCUUUUCUUUCAUCCAUAUAUGUAUACAACAUUUGAUCAUUGAGAUCUACCCCUCCCAUGUAGCUAUCAUAGCAUAUUUUCAUCUGUGGGUAGUCUCUUUGGUCUGACACCUUCUUUUUGCCAGAAGAAGCAUCACAAAAUGUUGAGAGAAACUUCACUGGAGGUUUGCUCUUCUUUUCUUUGUAAGCCAGGGCCAGUAGAUUAUUAUUUACCAUAUAAAGGGAUUCAUCAACACCUAAUUUUGCACUUUUUAAGGUUUUAGGAAGUCCUUUCCUAUUAGUUCUUAUAGUACCAGUCAAAUAAGUAUGACUGUCCAGUAAGUCCUUGGCUAGGUUGAUGCUGGUGAAAAAGUUGUCAGUUAUCAAAUGAUAACCUUUUCCAAGUAAACUGGAUUCCUGGAGCAGAUUCAUUGGAACAUCAUAGGAAAGGGACUUGAUAAUUGGAGAUAAUUUCCCUUUAUAUGGCUUCAUUCUCAGACAAUAGCCAGUUUUAGAUUCACAAAGCAUCCACAGUUUGACUCCAAAUCGACCAUGGUGCUUUUGGGGCAUAUAUUGUCUAAGACGAGUUCGGUUUUUUAGGCACACCAAGCUCUCAUCAACUGUAAGAUUUUGAGUAAGCUUAUAAUAAUAUAUAAACUUGUUGUUCACAUGCUCUAUGAGCUUCUCAAAUCUUGCAGUUGGGUUGUAAUCAGGAUGAGAACUUGGAACCAGGUUGGAGUCAUCAAUCAGAGAAAAGCAGCUGUAGAGCAACUCAAAUCUCCCUCUAGACAUAACUUUACCAAACCAGGGCGUCUCUAAAAGUUCAUUCUUGCUCCAAUAGUCCCUGAUUUGGUUCUUCUUCACAUUGCCCAUAUUGAAGAUGACUCCAAUAAAGGCCAUCAUCUCAUCCAAGGUAGUGUCCUUCCAGGCCAGCUUCCUAGAAAAUAGAGGCAAUUUGUCCCUAUUGCUUGCCAAUAAAGUUUGGGCACAUUUAUUGGUAAAAGCCACAAUUUCCUUCAUCAAAUUAAUUGUUAUGAAUAACAAAAAGUAUUCAAUAGGCCGGAUAAUAGAGGGGGGAAGGUGCUGUGGGCCACAAACUUCUCCAAAAGUCAACGUUUUAGAUGUGGAAAAUGGAGUAUAAACUCUUACCCAAGGACUUGGCUGGUUUUCAUCCACUUCUUCAUCAGAAAAUUCAUCUUCAAAAGUGUCUUCAACACUUUCUUCAAACUCAGAAGACAAAGAAUAAACUUCAGUGUCCUCAGAAAAUGCAGAGCAUUCUGAACCGGAAGCCAUUUUUAAAAAAUUAAAAAUAAAAAAAGGAAAUCGCAAGACAAAGGAGAUAAAAACACAGCUAACGUGUAGAGACAAGCCCAGAAGUGAGAAGGGAGGUGAUAAAAAUAGCCAGCCACCACCCCCUCCCCCACGAGGGGCCCUACAAGGAAGUAACGAUAGAUCAGUACCCCGGCGCUCCUGGUGACGUUAUAGGGUAACGAUGGAUCGUUACCUCGGCGCUUAAAGGGUUAAAAAAUAUUUCGGAUGUAUCUUGGCAUCUGUUUUGACAGAGAGGUGACCUUUAUAAACCAAUAUCUCCUCCAAGCAACAACAAUAAGAGACACCCAGGUAGAGUGUACACAACCAGAUUGUCCAUGUGUUAGAGAGACAGCUCAUGUACAACCAGUCUGACCCCAGUUCAGCCUCCAUAGUUAUAACACCAGGUCUGUUACAUAACUUGCUGCCAGAGAGACAGUACCUCCUAGAGUUUGGUCAAUGGAGGAUAAACUAUUUACAUACCCAACCCAGGAUCAAAUCCCAAUUUGGGGAACUUUUUCAAAAUUGAAAAUUGCUUCAAUGGCUCCCUACCUAUGAGUGCAAGUAACCAAACAGGCCCUGGCACAUUUGUAAGUGUAAAAGUCUAACUGCUUUUUACAAUGUGUAGACAUGUGGUGUACUUACAGUAAAAGCAGUCACUAACUACCCACCAUGAUUAUCAUGGCUGCUGUACCAUGUGUAGACAUGUGACAAUUUUUGACAAUUAAAUAACUUUAUUGACCGCUGGUCAACAAUCACUCACGAGGAGUCAAGAGGAUAAACUAUGUACAUUGGGCGGAGCCCUCCCCGAGGGGACGUCUGGCCUCAUCAGGAGGACAAGUCCACCCUGAGCCCGUAAAUUUCCUUGUGAACAGUGGGAUGGUUGUUCCGAGUAUACUCGAGAACAACAUCAAGGAAGCCCGCGAGAACACUCUUAUUUUCAGGCGAAAGUUGCUCGAGGAGUUCCUCUAUGUCUUCGCUGUAUAAGACCGCAGGCAUGAUGUCAUCUAGUUGAAUCCCUGAUUCUAAGAAGGGCCCAGCACCUGGAUCAAAGAUCAUUUUUCUAAAUAUUAUACCAACCUCCGGCAUCAGAUCCUUCUCCUCCAUCGGGUCAGGCAGUGGAAGCGGAGGUGUUGUCCUGGCUGGAGUUGACUUCUUUUUAUGGGGAGCGGGCAGCACCGGCUUAGCAGGCUGAGGCGCAGGCAGUGGGGGUGUUGGAGGGACUGCUGGUGUUGUCCUGAGCUCAGCCUUGACCUGUCCGAGGACUUUGUAAAGGUUGCUGGCUGCUCCGGGCCUCAGAUCCAAGAUUUGCCCUGAUCAGGCCGACGAGGGCGUCGCACUGCGGAGGCGACAGGAGGGGUCCUUUCCUCUGCGCCUUGGUCCUCGAGGAGAGGAGGUCCAGGACCUCCUCCCGCCCAAGACCAAGGGUGUCCGUCUCAGCGAAGGACACGCUGGGGUGCCCCUCGAUAAACGCAUCGAGGUCGACUCUCGUUGCAUUCUUUGCCGAAGACGUGGAGGACGCAAGGGUCUCCUCCACGAUGGACAUCUCCACGUCCGGUGUUGGGGCCGCAGGUCCGAGGGUCUUCUGGGCGGGCAGAGGGCCACGCGGGGGCAACGAGGUUCGGCCGAGCGGGAGGCGGCUCAGGAUGUUGUGAACCGGCCGGGCGAGGGCCCACGGGACCCUCAGGCGCCUGCAGGGGCGGAGCAGGGGUCACAGGUGGAGGGGCAGAAGGCGUCUCCUCCAUAGGCAAGGCCGGGGCCGCUGGUGUUGGACGGCUCUGCUGCCGGGACACGGUGGACGAUGCACCAGGUGGAAGGGGUGCCGGUUGUGGCUGGCCGUUGUUGGAGGCUCUCCCAGGAUUGAUAGGGCAGUUGGCCCUACAGUGACCCUGCCGGCCGCAUCUGGAGCACUUGACUCCAUAUGAUAUGAAGGCCGAGAGGACGUUUCCUUUGUUUCUGAUGACGACGCGGGUGUGGAUCUUUUCCAGUGUAAAGCCCUCCUUUAGGAGGAUGAAUACCUCGCGUCGGCCAUCCGUGAAGGUAUACCUUCCGGCUCUCAGCCGGAUAGGGACAAUGGAAGUCACGUCACCGUAGGGCCUGAGGGCCUCGAUGACGGCGGCGUCGUCUACGAAAAAGGGCAGGUUUGUGACGGUGAUCCUAUCCGCCCUUUUCUUAAAGGGGAAGGCCCUGAGGUGGGUAUGCCCGAUUUCAAGGCCGUCCCUUAGAAGUCGCUCCGCCAGGGCCUUGGUGGACAGGCCCACCAGCAUGUGGCCGUCCAUUUUCAUCACUUGGAGCACAUUCCCGGCUCCUCCGACCAGCUCUUCUACCGCCUGUAGGUAAUGGGUGUACCCGAAGUCUGGGCAGUGUUCCACGAAGACGCAGUUAUCCUCAGUUGAAGAGCGCUGUUGUACUCUGGCAUCGGCGAUGUCGGCCCGGGUAGCCCUGAUUUCCUGGACCACCGUAGCUCCUCCCGCAGUUGGCCGUCUUCGCGGGAUUGCGCCGGUCCUUCUGGAGGCCGCGACACCUCUGGAACGUUGUUCGACAGGGCGGUUCGGCGACUCCCUGCGUCUACGCUUGUGUUUAACUACGGUGAAGUUAUCUUCACCUGAUUCCGCAGCCUCCAUUUGCUCGGCCCAGUUCGUCGCAGCGGCCAAGGCGCCGCUUGUUGAUGGCAUGACGUCAGCGAUACACGCCGCGGCAAAAUUUGCAUGGCUUCUGUCGAUUGACAGAUUUGCAUAGUUGGCGCUUGCGUCAGCCAUUCUCGAAUCUUCACCUUGAAAAUGGUUUUCCGCGGAUAAAUCCGCAAUGGCUUCUUCACUUUCGGAGCCGAGCCUUGCAGGCUCAUGUUCAGCUCGGGGAGGGCUUCCAGCGACAUUCUUCCGCUCGCCAGAGGCGAAAAACUCAGGAGCUCGCGCGACGCGUGGCCGCACGGCCGAGUGUAGACAUGUGGUGUACUUACAGUAAAAACAGUCGUUAACUACCCACCAUGAUUAUCAUGGCCUGUACCAUGUGUAGACAUGUGGUGUACUUACAGUAAAAGCAGUCGCUAACUACCCACCAUGAUUAUCAUGGCCUGUACCAUGUGUAGACAUGUGACAAUUGACAAUUAAACAAUUUUUUAUUGUCAUCUUAGACAAUCGGCAAACUACAAAGAGUUAAGUAACAAUGUUCAAAG
This is a non-coding RNA of Cordylochernes scorpioides, 7890 nucleotides long. The record is from the annotation of a GenBank genome assembly. Lineage: Eukaryota; Metazoa; Arthropoda; Arachnida; Pseudoscorpiones; Chernetidae.